Vicugna pacos (alpaca) is the source of this 3515-nucleotide RNA transcript. It is a transcript of the gene named transmembrane and coiled-coil domains protein 1 pseudogene, with no coding region annotated. Lineage: Eukaryota; Metazoa; Chordata; Mammalia; Artiodactyla; Camelidae. The record is from RefSeq and is a predicted model, not a curated record.
GCGGCGGCCGCAGCGGCGGGAGCGAGGGCGCUGGCGGAGACGCCGGCUUCUCCUCCCCUCCCCAGCGGUGUUACAGCCUGGAGGAGACACGCCCGCCGUUAGCACUUUCCGCAGAGGCUGACAGUUGGUGAACACCUGCUCUUGAUCGUAAGAUUUAGAAGACGGUCUCCACCUUCCAGAUUGGAUCUCUCUUCAUGUGGAUCUUCUGUGUCUAUGUCUUUUAAAACAGAUUUGUGGGAAACAUGUUGGAUUACAACUGUUCAUCCUCAUCUAUGCAAACAAAGGAAAGCUAUUGUGCUGGGAUUUUGAGGAGGAACUUUCCCAGGGGUGGCCCUUCUUACAAGUGUAAAUAAAAGGUCUCAAGUGUGCUGCAUUAGUGUCCUCCCACGUGGCAAGUAAUACUCUGAACAGGGGAGGCAGGCUGAUCUUUUUCUAACAGGAUUCCAGUACACCUUAGAAGUGCUUGAGGACGAGUGAUAAAGGCAGGCAUGAAGCCUCCGUCUCACAGCUGCAUGUGUAGUUACUGUUGAAGCAAUCCCUGCUUAAGUUGACAAUGUUGGUGUGUUUAAAUUUUUUUGAGUUUGCAAAUAAGCAUAUUAAGUCUAGUGAUGGAGCCUUCAGGCAGUGAACAGUUACUUGAGGACCCUGAUCCUGGAGGCAGAUCCCAAGAUGCAGAGGCCGGAAAGCAGACAGAAUCAGAACAAAAGUUGUCUGAAAUGACCCACAAUGCUUUGGAGUACAUUAAUGCGAUUGGCCAAGGCUUGAAGCAUCUCUCCCAGCACCAGCGCAGGAGGUCAUCAGUGUCUCCACACGACGUGCAGCAAAUUCAGGCAGAUCCAGAACCUGAAAUGGAUCUGGAAAGCCAGAACGCAUGUGCUGAGAUUGAUGGUGUCCCCACCCGCCCCGCAGCUCUGAAUCGUGUCCUGCAGCAGAUCCGAGUGCCACCCAAGAUGAAGAGGGAGACGAGCUUGCAUAGUAGGCGGGGCAAGCCAGAGGCCCCAAAGGGAAGUCCCGAAAUCAACAGGAAAUCUGGCCAGGAGAUGGCAACUGUUACGCAGUCAGGCCAACCAGGUCUUCAUCCACUGCCGAUGCUCCCACCAGCUCCGCCGUGAUGGAAAUAGCUUGUGCCGCUGCUGCUGCCGCUGCCGCUGCGUGUCUGCCAGGGGAUGAGGCGUCUGCAGAGUGGAUAGAGCAGUUGGAAGUAGGCAGCCUCGCCCAGACUUCCAGUGCAGUGGCCUCCAGCACCGAUGGCAGCAUCCACACAGACUCUGUGGAUGGAACACCAGACCCUCAGCGCACAAAGGCUGCUAUUGCUCACUUGCAGCAGAAGAUCCUGAAGCUCACAGAGCAGAUUAAGAUCGCGCAGACAGCCCGGGACGACAACGUUGCUGAUUAUCUGAAGCUUGCCAACAGUGCAGACAAGCAGCAGGCCGCCCGUAUCAAGCAGGUCUUUGAGAAGAAGAACCAGAAAUCUGCCCAAACCACCCUCCAGCUCCAAAAGAACCUUGAGCGCUACCACAGAAAGCUCCGAGAGGUGGAGCAGAAUGGGAUCCUCUGGCAGCCAAAGGACGUCUUCAGGGACAUGCACCAGGGUCUGAAGGAUAUGGGAGCGAAGGUGACCAGCUUCAUUGAAGGUGUAGUGGACAGUGUCAAAGGUGGACUUUCCAGCUUCUCCCAGGCGACCCAUUCAGCAGCAGGGGCUGUGGUUUCAAAGCCCAGAGAGAGUGCCUCACUGAGUCGGAAUAAGUUUGGCAGUGCAGACAAUAUCCCUAACCUGAAGGGCUCUUUCGAGGAAGGACAAGUGGAUGAUGGGGGGAAGGCUUUGGGAGUGAUUUCAAACUUUCAGUCGAGCCCCAAAUAUGGUAGCGAGGAAGAUUGUUCUAGUGCCACCUCUGGCUCAGUGGGAGCCAACAGCACCAGUGCAGGCAUCGCUGGAGGAUCGUCCAGCUCCAAAACAAACACCCUGGACAUGCAGAGCUCAGGAUUCGAUGCACCGCUGCAUGAGAUCCAGGAGAUCCGGGAAACCCACGCCAGACUGGAGGAAUCUUUUGAGACCCUCAAGGAACAUUAUCAGAGUGACUAUUCAUUAAUAAUGCAGGCCUUUCAGGAGGAGCCACACAGAUGUGAACGAUUAGAAGAACAACUGAAUGACCUGACAAAGCUCCAACAGAACGAAAUCUUGAACUUGAAGGAGGAAUUGGCCAGCAUGGAAGACAAAAUUGCAUAUCAGUCCUUUGAAUGGGCCUGGGACACCCAGGAGGCCCUGGAGGGGUGCCAGACCCGCAUCUCUAAGAUGGAGCUGCAGCAGCAGCAGCAGCAGCAGCAGCAGCAGAUGUUGCAGCUGGAGGGGCUGGAGAACGCCACGGCGCGCAACCUGCUGGACAAGCUCAUCAGCAUCCUCCUGGCGCUCAUGGUUGUCCGCCUGGUCUUCAUCUCCCCAGUGGCCAACUGCGUGGUCCCGCUCAUGAAGACGCGCAACAGGACGUUCAGCACUUUAUUCCUUGUGGUCUUCAUUGCCUUUCUCUGGAAGCACUGGGACGCCCUCUUCAGCUACGUGGAGCGGUUCUUUUCCUCCCCGAGGUGAUGCUGGCCCCAGGAGGCCAUGCUCCCUACCGUCUGGCCAGUGCAUGCAGCGAGGACUCAGACAGCAGCAUACCUACUCUGAAGUUUUCUACAGCAACAAGAGAGUUGAGUGAAUUCAUUUACAUUUAGAAUAAUGUUUUUUUCUUCAAAAGACGCAAUUGCAAUAGUAUUUUUUAGAUUUUAUCCAAGAAGUUUUUUUUGGGGGCAAAAAUCUUGGAUCAUUUUUAUGUAGCAUGAUUUUCCUUGGGAUGCAGAUCGUAAACAGCCCUUAAACAUGAACCAACAAUGUGGAGCACACCGAAGGGCGUUCUGAACUGUGGCUUGACGGGCUGCACUGAAACCCGGUGAGGGAAGCCAGUUAAACCCAACACCCUGCCUUGUCUGGGCUCACCACCUCUCCCCUCCCAGACUGACUUUCCUGUGAAGUCCUACCACAUUCCAUGUCUGAAUUUCUGGAUUCAGGGUGGAUUUCCCUUGUCCGUGUACAAACACAUGGAUGUCCCUGGCUUUCUCACCCAAGUUGGCCACUCACCUAACUCUGGAAGUGUGAUCACUGUUGAACCUGGUCCCUUACCUUUGCUGGGAUACAGGAGUGAGAGCAUCAUGCCCCAGAGGAUCACUGCACAGCCCUACUACAUACAGUAUUUCGAAGUAGCCCUCUAAAUACUUAAUGUUAAGCAAACCCCAUGGCCGCACUUUUAAGGUUUUUUUUUUAAAUAUGUGUAUAGUCACCAAUUUAAAAAACAAAAAAAUCUGAACAGCAUACUUGAAGAAUGCAAACUCAGAUUCCCAGUACUCCCUUACGGUUUCUAAUAGGAUUUUUUAUUAUUGUUAUUAUUAUUACUGGGUUUUUUUGGAAAGGGUUGGGAGGGGCUUUUAUUUUUCCUUUAAAAUAAAGAAGUGAUGUUUUCAAAUGAAAAAAAAGUCUGUAU